GGGGGCGAUCGGUUUCGACUGGAAGUUUCCUGGCUUGAGUGGCGUGCCGAGGUUGCGGAGAUGGCCUCGUAAAACCUUCCGCAAAGGCUUAACUGCCAAMAAUAACUUCAAACUCGCUGCUUAGUCAGUGACAUUCGACUUGCCUUCGCCCGCUGGGCUUGUCGGAUGAUUGAUCGCGGGCUAGURACCUAAUCCUGGCUCGGGAAAAGGAAGCGAAAUUCAAGGAGCUGGUCGCCUAAGCCACCUGUCCGUUGGCAGCUAUGGGGAYGAGAUUCAAUAAUGGACUACGCACGUAGAAGCUYCUGUUUGGCCUUCUCAGGACGCGGGUUCGAUUCCCGCCGCCUCCACCA
This 350-nucleotide transfer-messenger RNA is filed under the name Planctomycetota. RNAcentral describes it as "GCA-2746235 sp002746235 Standard tmRNA". It matches the Rfam family "transfer-messenger RNA". Rfam says of the family: Bacterial tmRNA, also known as 10Sa RNA or SsrA, is named for its dual tRNA and mRNA-like properties. The record is from RNAcentral. RNAcentral also lists the same sequence under 1 other name. Lineage: Bacteria; Pseudomonadati.